This is a long non-coding RNA of Sinocyclocheilus rhinocerous, 235 nucleotides long. RefSeq lists it as uncharacterized. The transcript is spliced from 3 exons. The record is from RefSeq and is a predicted model, not a curated record. Lineage: Eukaryota; Metazoa; Chordata; Actinopteri; Cypriniformes; Cyprinidae.
CUCGUGUGAGCAGCAGAGAGAAUCAGAGAGGAAUGAACUCAGAUGGUGAAGACACACAGAGCGCAGAAUCACAACCAUGAAUGCUGUAAAUGCUGUGCAGCUGUUCAUUCUGGUUUGGACCUUUACUGCUCUCUGUCAAGCUGAUAAAGAUAUCAGUGUAAACUGUGAGAAUGUGACUGGAUCUGUGGGGAAAGAAGUAACUCUCACCUGCAGUGUUUCUCUGCUGAUAAAUGAA